Molecule: ribosomal RNA, 466 nt
Filed under: uncultured bacterium
Lineage: Bacteria
Description: partial 16S ribosomal RNA
Rfam family: Bacterial small subunit ribosomal RNA
Source: RNAcentral
GAUGAACGCUGGCGGCGUGCUUAACACAUGCAAGUCGAACGAUGAAGCCCAGCUUGCUGGGUGGAUUAGUGGCGAACGGGUGAGUAACACGUGAGUAACCUGCCCUUAACUCUGGGAUAAGCCUGGGAAACUGGGUCUAAUACCGGAUAAGAGCGUCCACCGCAUGGUGGGUGUUGGAAAGAUUUAUCGGUUUUGGAUGGACUCGCGGCCUAUCAGCUUGUUGGUGAGGUAAUGGCUCACCAAGGCGACGACGGGUAGCCGGCCUGAGAGGGUGACCGGCCACACUGGGACUGAGACACGGCCCAGACUCCUACGGGAGGCAGCAGUGGGGAAUAUUGCACAAUGGGCGCAAGCCUGAUGCAGCGACGCCGCGUGAGGGAUGACGGCCUUCGGGUUGUAAACCUCUUUCAGUAGGGAAGAAGCGAAAGUGACGGUACCUGCAGAAGAAGCACCGGCUAACUACGUG